RNAcentral lists this ribosomal RNA (397 nucleotides) under Penaeus vannamei (Pacific white shrimp). RNAcentral's name for it is "partial 16S ribosomal RNA". It matches the Rfam family "Bacterial large subunit ribosomal RNA", at positions 1947 to 2543 of the family's 2925-position model. Lineage: Eukaryota; Metazoa; Arthropoda; Malacostraca; Decapoda; Penaeidae. The record is from RNAcentral.
UGUGCGAAGUUAGCAUAAUCAUUAGUCUUUUAAUUGGAGGCUCGUAUGAAUGGUUGGACAAAAAGCAAACUGUCUCAAUUAUAUUUAUUGAAUUUAACUUUUAAGUGAAAAGGCUUAAAUAAAUUAAGGGGACGAUAAGACCCUAUAAAGCUUUACAAUAAGUUACCUAUAUUAUAAAUUGUUAGUAUAACUUGAGUUUAGGUAACGUUUGUUGCGUUGGGGCGACGAGAAUAUAAUAAGUAACUGUUCUUAAGUUAUUUAAUGACAGAAAUUUCUGGAAAAUUAAUGAUCCUCUACUAGAGAUCAUAAGAUUAAGUUACUUUAGGGAUAACAGCGUAAUCUUCUUUGAGAGUCCACAUCGACAGGAAGGGUUGCGACCCCGAUGUUGAAUUAAGGA